Molecule: long non-coding RNA, 528 nt
Organism: Cyprinus carpio carpio
Lineage: Eukaryota; Metazoa; Chordata; Actinopteri; Cypriniformes; Cyprinidae
Source: Ensembl
GAUCGAUCUUCGGAGAUUGAGAUAAUCGCUAUGAACAAAACGGAGUCGUUUUAAAAACAUUUUAUUGUAAAAAUAGACAUUUUAACCAGACGUGCGGCUUUAUAAUGCAUGCAAGAAGACAAACUUCAAGUGGAAAUGUAGUCUACUUACAGAUUAAGGGAGGUGUUUGAACCGUGACAUCUACAGUAGCCAACAGAAACAGAGUGCUGGGACAUGAGGUCAGACAUUGACUGUAAUGAUGGACAUCUGCUGAUGCACAGGAGGCGUCCAUCUGUUGCUUGGCGAGUCAAGAGUCACGGGCCCAGAGUCAAGACCCCAUAUGUUUGUUUCUAGGGGUUUGGAGCAGAAGGUGGGGGACGGAAAUGUCUGUGCAACCCAAAGCCUUGGACCAGAGAGGUGACGGUCAGCACUCAGAUUGCAGACUGUGACCUCUGGGUGGUUGACAGCUGACUUUGAGAUGAAAAAAGUUCACUGCUGAUGUCUAGCAGAACCAGCCCUAUAGUAAAAGCCAGUUAAACAAAAAAGGUG